RNAcentral lists this transfer RNA (83 nucleotides) under Planctomycetota bacterium. RNAcentral describes it as "Planctomycetes bacterium tRNA-Leu". It matches the Rfam family "tRNA". Rfam says of the family: Transfer RNA (tRNA) molecules are approximately 80 nucleotides in length. Their secondary structure includes four short double-helical elements and three loops (D, anti-codon, and T loops). The record is from RNAcentral. Lineage: Bacteria; Pseudomonadati; Planctomycetota. RNAcentral also lists the same sequence under 1 other name.
GCCGAAGUGGCGGAAUGGCAGACGCGCUGGAUUCAAAAUCCAGUGCCCGAAAGGGCGUGUGGGUUCAAGUCCCACCUUCGGUA